RNAcentral lists this ribosomal RNA (157 nucleotides) under Isaria sp. BCC20128. RNAcentral describes it as "5.8S ribosomal RNA". It matches the Rfam family "5.8S ribosomal RNA". From Rfam's summary of the family: 5.8S ribosomal RNA (5.8S rRNA) is a component of the large subunit of the eukaryotic ribosome. It is transcribed by RNA polymerase I as part of the 45S precursor that also contains 18S and 28S rRNA. Functionally, it is thought that 5.8S rRNA may be involved in ribosome translocation. Lineage: Eukaryota; Fungi; Ascomycota; Sordariomycetes; Hypocreales; Cordycipitaceae. RNAcentral also lists the same sequence under 5 other names. The record is from RNAcentral.
AAACUUUCAACAACGGAUCUCUUGGCUCUGGCAUCGAUGAAGAACGCAGCGAAAUGCGAUAAGUAAUGUGAAUUGCAGAAUUCAGUGAACCAUCGAAUCUUUGAACGCACAUUGCGCCCGCCAGCAUUCUGGCGGGCAUGCCUGUUCGAGCGUCAUU